GGAACAGAUUCUGACCUCAUCUGAGCCGAGCAGCUCUCGCCCCAGGCGGACUGCACGAACACGGAUGUGUAAGUCUGUUCCGAAUGCCUCUAUAGUGUGGCAGGAAAAGGUGUGAAAUCAUGAUACACUUCCACCUAGUGAGUGAAAUUUGUACGUUUUGUCACGCACACACAAAGUCGCACACUGAUUUUUUCCACUUUGUUUAUCUCACACUGUGAAGGUGUGUGUUUCAUGGGAAGAGUGUGAAUGUUGCACCUGUCAGCUCUUGAUUAACAAACCAUGCUUUCUGUACUGAGCGCACACAUUACACACAUGCCACCCAUGUUCAUAAACUCAGAGAAACUGCCAGAGUUUCUUCCUGCUAAUUGCCUAUGCUAAUUUUAUCUCCAGAGUGGCAGUAAAAGUAUUAGUGCAAAGCUUUUCUUGGCACUUAGAUGUUUUUUUUUUUUUUUUCAUCUUCCAUGUUUUAAAAAAAUAAGAUUAAAUGUACAGAAAGUCUAGUAUGAACAACUUUUUAUUUCAUAAACUUUAAACUUUUUGGUAAAUCCAAAUUCAGUCCAAUAACCACACUGUCUGGCGGACUGUGACUAACUUUUGAUUUACCUAACACAAACCUUUAAGGAACUAACCACUGAUUUAGUCCGUGUUAUGUCUGGUUUAGUGAUGAUGACUCUGUUAUGGACAAACCACAACACAGACUAGACUAGUUCACUUUAAUUCUGUUUUAAAGACCACUUAAAGGUGGGGUCGGCAGGAAUCCGUUAAAGAAGCAUCUUUUUUUGUGGUGUAUAUACAAAAAAGCUUUUAAUGUCAGUCAAUAGCUAUUAGUUAUUGUUGACAUUUGGGAAUAUCACGAUGUCGCUGUGUUCUGUUAUGUCUGUGUAGUCAACAUUUUAAUAUCUUUGAGCGGCCCGCUCUUUCUGACUGUAAACAAAGCCAUUCUCCGCCUCCCCCAACCUGAUUGGUUGUGAGGCAUGCUCCACUUCCUCAAAUAACAUUCACGAACCCAAACAAAGUUAGCCUGCUACAAUAUCGGACAGUAGAAAUCAACCAGAAUGUAUGGAAAAUUUUCUGAAUCCUCCUUUGGCCACAACUGCCAACACAAGCAAGAAAACAAAGCAAAUACUGGAGACUCUGGCUUAAAAGUGAGGUAGACCAGACAAGAGCUAAAAAGCCGGGUCAACAUAAAACGAUGGGGGACGCUUUGGGAUCUUACAGACCCUGUAACCUUUCUGCUGGACAGGUAAACUGCUCUAACAAAGUAAGCAAGUUAGCAAGUACAAUGUGUUUGCUGGUCAUCUGUUGGCAUCUACAGUAGCACCAAUGUUUUUGUCUUUUUUUCUAUUUGAAGUAUUUAUCUGCAUUAUAUCUGAAUUUAAUUGAAACAAUAAGAGCGAGCAGAAGCGUCUGUUUGUAGGUGGGGCUUGCUGGAGCAGCGAGGGAGGGGAGAGGAGGAGCUGAGGGAAAAACUGGUUGGGAGGGGUAGUGUUUGCUUUCAAGAUCUCUCCCACAAACUGGCACUUCCUCAGAUGCUGCCUACCCCAUUUUGAUGUCAACCUUGUUGGAGAAACACUGGUUGUUUUUGAAGCCCUGACAGAAGUAGAGAACUGGUUAAUGCAGUUUGGACUUUUAAUGAACCAUUAGGAACUAAUUAAGUCCUCCUUAAACCUGGUUUAGUUACCUCAUGGUCAUAUUUUUAGGAAUUAUGUCAUAAAGUGAGUUUACCUCUCCCAUGAACCUUUGGUUUAUUCCUCCUUAACCCUUCUGAGGGAAGUUUGGCUCACCUUAAAGUCAUUUCUGUUGUAAAUAUCAACGUGCAAAUCUUGCAAAGCCGGUAAAUCUUGCUAGUGAAAAGCUUUUAUUGAUUGCAUUUCCUGCUUAACUUUUAUUUUGCCCCCUAAAAUCUGUUUAUGUCAACUAGACUAUGAAGGUUAGUUUGUCACCUGAGAUGUUGUUAACCUUUUGGUACCUACUACUUUAAAUUUGAUUUUGACAUUGUGUUGCUAACCAAUGAUUUGGUCAACCCUAACUCAUCAGAAACAAAUCAAUAUAUCAAAUCAAUAUGUGCUUUCUCCGUAGAAUCUUUCAACUUCAAUCGCACGUUUUCUUGUUACGGGUUCUGACAGACAAAAUCAGUGUGCUCUCACUGUAUUUUUCGAACAUUAGCACCUUGAUUUUUUGGGGCACAUUGACAACCCUUUCACUGAAACGCAUCACUUAUCAGCUCGGACUGUGACCUCCAAUCACAGCAUGACCUUCGCACCCAUGAGCCUGGCGCUGGUAUAAUCCCAUGUGGGUGUCUUGGUAUUGACUCAGAGGUUAUUGGUUCAGCUAAUUGCUAUUUGCAUAGCUUUAUUAGUAUCCCAGCACUGCUUCCGUGACAUUUCAAUCCUUUUUUUUUUUCCCUUUUCGCUUUCUCUGGCUCCGUCUCCGUGGCUUCGUCUUGUUCUGUGCAUUCUGGGGAGAGGAAUUAGACAGUGUUUGGUGUGUGAUUAAGUAUUCAUGCUUAAAGUAGCGACGAGCAGAUCUCAGGAGAGGCAGCCAUGGAGGAGGAGAGCAAACAUUAAUAUGCGCCUAAUAACUCUUUCUAUCUGCUUCCUUGUUUUUCCAUUCUGUCUCUGUGUGUCUGUUGGGCUCUGGUUGGCCGGGUUUUCCCUCUCCAUAUUUUGGGUGAAAUAUAAAAUAUUGAAUUUGAAAAGAUGAAUGGAAGUGAGAGGAAUCUCAUGAAAUGUUAAUGUUUUUGUUGUUUUUUUUAUAACAGAAAGGGGCUGUUCAGUAAACAUCAAUGGAGCACACGUUUGUAGGACGAUGAUGGGAACUUAGCCUGACUGAGCAUCAGAGAGUUUUGUUUUAACUCCUGAACCACCAAGAGGAAUCUAGGUGCUCAAAAUGUUCAGCAGACAGCAGACCUCCACACUGAAGCCUAUAUUUGUGGGAUUUUGAUGGGAGAUGUACCUAACUGUCCCUAACACGUCCUUAAAGACCUAUUACUUCCAGAGCUUCUUCACUGGCCCUAGAUCAUCUGCAGAAGUCAUCCUUCUCUCCAAAAAUAACAAAGCUGUGAGGAGAGGUAAGAACACCACAAAGAGCUCAUUUUCCUUUGAAUUUUCAGCUUGUUUUAUGCGUAAGUUUUCUUUAAUUUUUCUUUUUCCACAGAGUUUAUAAGGUAAGGUGAUCAAAACCAAUAAAAACUCCAAGCAAGUCAGCUGUCUUCAGCUGUUGACAAAGCUGUGACUAACUUCAGCAGAGGAACAUCACAGUGGGGUGAAGAGUAACACUAUUUUUGGGAAGUCAGAAUAUGGUCACCCGAUGUUCGACCCUGUUUCCCUCCUGCUCUCUGUG
Molecule: long non-coding RNA, 3342 nt
Filed under: Xyrichtys novacula (pearly razorfish)
Lineage: Eukaryota; Metazoa; Chordata; Actinopteri; Labriformes; Labridae
Source: RNAcentral